Molecule: long non-coding RNA, 1472 nt
Organism: Esox lucius (northern pike)
Lineage: Eukaryota; Metazoa; Chordata; Actinopteri; Esociformes; Esocidae
Source: Ensembl
GGCUAAGAAUGAGGCCAGAAAGAGAAGUGUUGUCAUGGUUUCAUCAGGAAUAAACAGGGCUCAAUCAUCUAUCCCUGACAAAAUAUGGGAAAAUAGUACCAAUCUCAUAGAGGGCAAAAAGGCACCUCCUUGUGGGUAUUAUGGAUAUUUCUUUUGUAUUUUCUGAAUGAUCCCUAAUGAAAAUACAUCAGUCCAUCUAGUUUUUGGCUUACUUGGGCCAACAAAGUCUUAAGGCGAUUUAUUUUAAAGGUGCACUCCAGUCAUAUGAUGACCCGAUUCAAAUUGACAAGUUCCUCCAACAACAGAGUAAAAAAUAAAGUGAUCUCCCAAUCAAAGUAUGCUGGUCGUUUGGGGAGGGGUGGUACACAGCGGCUGUCGUGGUACACAGCGGCUGUCGUGGUACACAGCGGCUGUCGUAAUUGGCUACAUUCAGAUUUCACUUAUUUUGUGGGACUCCUCAGCAGGAAAGAUAUUGCAUGUGACAGGGGUGCACUUUCAAAGGUCUAUAUUCUUACUGUUAAAAACAAUUGUGUAGGUCAGUGGUUCCCAACUACGGUCCUCAAGUACCCCCAACAGUACACAUUUUCAUUGUAGCCCCAGCCAAGCACAGCUGAUUCAACUUGUCAACUAAUUAUCAGGCUCUCAUUAAGUUGAAUUGGGUGUGCUUGUCCAGGGCUACAACAAAAAUGUGUACUGUUGGGGUUACUCCAGGACCGGAGUUGGGAACCACUGGUGUAGGUAGUACAGCAAUUGUAUCUUUCUCAGAGCGAAGGCGGCUUUAAAUUUCGGGCAUUUUAAACCCACAUUAAAUAAAGCAUUUUGAAGUUACAUUACAUAUUGUACAUAGGCCUGACUUUAUGGAACCAAAGGUAUUUGGACAGACAUUAUUUACAAUAUAUUAGUCAUGUUUAGUCCUUGAUUGAAUAUUCUUUACAUCCAAUGAUUGCCUGAAGGGUGACCCACGGUGGGCAUCUUCCCUGGUGAUGCUCUGCCAGGACUGUACUGUAGCCAUCUUCAGUUCCCAGCUUACAGCCAUCACAAACCCUUCAGCGCAAGCAGUGUUUAUGCAGUGUGCACGGGAUCAUCAGGGACACUUGACAUCCAUCCCAAAAACUGUUUGCCCUCCUACCAUCAGGCAGGUUGUACAGGUCUCUUCAUUCCCACACCAGCAGGCUGAGGAACAGUUUCUGCCCACCCACUGUAACCCUGCUCAACUCUGUGACCCAUCACUAAUCAUACACCCCCCCUUGUUACAGGAUUCAUCCUCCUGCUGUCAGCAUUUACAUCAUAACCCUCCCCCCUGUGAAGUCUUCCAAGGACGUAAUGGCUGACAGCCGUCCCUCCUAGUGCUCCUGAACUGUCACACUGAGUUAAUGUCCUCCAGAUUUUGUUACGGUGAGCAUUAUUUGGUCAUCCACUGUAAAGGCCUUCCUUGGUCUACUAGGUCAUUUGACCAGUGCUUGCUUUCUUUU